This 478-nucleotide ribosomal RNA is filed under the name uncultured bacterium. RNAcentral describes it as "partial 16S ribosomal RNA". It matches the Rfam family "Bacterial small subunit ribosomal RNA", at positions 28 to 523 of the family's 1533-position model. The record is from RNAcentral.
GACGAACGCUGGCGGCGUGCUUAACACAUGCAAGUCGAACGGUAAGGCCCUUCGGGGUACACGAGUGGCGAACGGGUGAGUAACACGUGGGUGAUCUGCCCUGCACUUCGGGAUAAGCCUGGGAAACUGGGUCUAAUACCGGAUAGGACCCUGGGAUGCAUGUCCUGGGGUGGAAAGCUUUUGCGGUGUGGGAUGGGCCCGCGGCCUAUCAGCUUGUUGGUGGGGUGAUGGCCUACCAAGGCGACGACGGGUAGCCGGCCUGAGAGGGUGACCGGCCACACUGGGACUGAGAUACGGCCCAGACUCCUGGGGGAGGCAGCAGUGGGGAAUAUUGGACAAUGGGCGCAAGCCUGAUGCAGCGACGCCGCGUGAGGGAUGACGGCCUUCGGGUUGUAAACCUCUUUCAGCACCGACGAAGCGCAAGUGACGGUAGGUGCAGAAGAAGGACCGGCCAACUACGUGCCAGCCGCCGCCGUAA